RNAcentral lists this ribosomal RNA (592 nucleotides) under uncultured bacterium. RNAcentral describes it as "partial 16S ribosomal RNA". It matches the Rfam family "Bacterial small subunit ribosomal RNA", at positions 612 to 1204 of the family's 1533-position model. The record is from RNAcentral.
CCCUGGGAACUGCGUUNGAAACUACAGAGCUAGAGUGUGGCAGAGGGGGGNGNAAUUNCAUGUGUAGCAGUGAAAUGNGUAGAGAUAUGGAGGAACAUCGAUGNCGANNNCAGCCCCNUGGGUUNACACUGNCGCUCAUGCANGNNNNCGUGGGGANCAAACANNAUUAGAUACCCUGGUAGUCCACGCCCUNAACUAUGUCAACUAGUUGUCGGGCCUUACUAGGCUNGGUAACGUAGCUAACGCGUGAAGUUGACCGCCUGGGGAGUACGGUCGCAAGAUUAAAACUCAAAGGAAUUGACGGGGACCCGCACAAGCGGUGGAUUAUGUGGAUUAAUUCGAUGCAACGCGAAAAACCUUACCUACCCUUGACAUGUCAGAAAGUUUUCAGAGAUGAAUUCGUGCUCGAAAGAGAAUCUGAACACAGGUGCUGCAUGGCUGUCGUCAGCUCGUGUCGUGAGAUGUUGGGUUAAGUCCCGCAACGAGCGCAACCCUUGUCAUUAAUUGCCAUCAUUUAGUUGGGCACUUUAAUGAGACUGCCGGUGAUAAACCGGAGGAAGGUGGGGAUGACGUCAAGUCCUCAUGGCCCUUA